Molecule: ribosomal RNA, 461 nt
Filed under: uncultured bacterium
Lineage: Bacteria
Description: bacterial SSU rRNA
Rfam family: Bacterial small subunit ribosomal RNA
Source: RNAcentral
ACACUGUACGAGUUUGAUCAUGGCUCAGAAUGAACGCUGGCGGCAGGCCUAACACAUGCAAGUCGAACGGGUCCUUCGGGACUAGUGGCGGACGGGUGAGUAACGCGUGGGAACAUACCCAAAGGUACGGAAUAGCCUCGGGAAACUGAGAGUAAUACCGUAUGUGCCCUUCGGGGGAAAGAUUUAUCGCCUUUGGAUUGGCCCGCGUUGGAUUAGGUAGUUGGUGGGGUAAUGGCCUACCAAGCCGACGAUCCAUAGCUGGUUUGAGAGGAUGAUCAGCCACACUGGGACUGAGACACGGCCCAGACUCCUACGGGAGGCAGCAGUGGGGAAUCUUAGACAAUGGGGGAAACCCUGAUCUAGCCAUGCCGCGUGAUCGAUGAAGGCCUUAGGGUUGUAAAGAUCUUUCAGAUGGGAAGAUAAUGACGGUACCAUCAGAAGAAGCCCCGGCUAACUCCGUG